CUACGGGAGGCACCAGUGAGGAAUAUUGCACAAUGGGGGGAACCCUGAUGCAGCAACGCCGCGUGGAGGAUGACGCAUUUCGGUGUGUAAACUCCUUUUAUAUGUCAAGAAAAUGACGGUAGCAUAUGAAUAAGCACCGGCUAACUCCGUGCCAGCAGCCGCGGUAAUACGGAGGGUGCAAGCGUUACUCGGAAUCACUGGGCGUAAAGGACGCGUAGGCGGGUUGGAAAGUCAGGUGUGAAAUCCUACAGCUUAACUGUAGAACUGCACUUGAAACUUCUAAUCUAGAGUAUGGGAGGGGGAGAUGGAAUUAGUGGUGUAGGGGUAAAAUCCGUAGAUAUCACUAGGAAUACCUAAAGCGAAGGCGAUCUCCUGGAACAUUACUGACGCUAAGGCGUGAAAGCGUGGGGAUCAAACAGGAUUAGAUACCCCAUAGUC
Molecule: ribosomal RNA, 438 nt
Filed under: uncultured bacterium
Lineage: Bacteria
Description: partial 16S ribosomal RNA
Rfam family: Bacterial small subunit ribosomal RNA
Source: RNAcentral